RNAcentral lists this ribosomal RNA (253 nucleotides) under uncultured bacterium. RNAcentral's name for it is "partial 16S ribosomal RNA". It matches the Rfam family "Bacterial small subunit ribosomal RNA", at positions 524 to 776 of the family's 1533-position model. The record is from RNAcentral.
UACGUAGGUGGCAAGCGUUGUCCGGAAUUAUUGGGCGUAAAGCGCGCGCAGGCGGUCCUUUAAGUCUGAUGUGAAAGCCCACGGCUCAACCGUGGAGGGUCAUUGGAAACUGGGGGACUUGAGUGCAGAAGAGGAAAGCGGAAUUCCACGUGUAGCGGUGAAAUGCGCAGAUAUCGGGAAGAACACCCGUGGCGAAGGCGGCUCUCUGGGACGGUACUGACGCUGAGACGCGAAAGCGUGGGGAGCGAACAGG